This 432-nucleotide unclassified non-coding RNA is filed under the name soil metagenome. Its description in RNAcentral is "partial contains 5.8S ribosomal RNA, internal transcribed spacer 2, and large subunit ribosomal RNA". The stretch from base 1 to 120 matches the Rfam family "5.8S ribosomal RNA", at positions 35 to 154 of the family's 154-position model. The record is from RNAcentral.
GAUGAAGAACGUAGCGAAAUGCGAUACGUAAUGUGAAUUGCAGAAUUCAGUGAAUCAUCGAAUCUUUGAACGCAUAUUGCGCUCUCUGGUAUUCCGGAGAGCAUGCUUGUUUGAGUAUCAGUAAACACCUCAACUCCCCUUUCUUUUUUUGAAAUGGGAGCUGGACUUGAGUGAUCCCAACGCUUUUCUCACCGAAAAGUGGCGGGUUACUUGAAAUGCAGGUGCAGCUGGACUUUUCUCUGAGCUAAAAGCAUAUCUAUUUAGUCUGCCUAAAAAACAGAUUAUUACCUUUGCUGCAGCUAACAUAAAGGAGAUUAGUUCUUGUGCUGACUGAUGCAGGAUUCACAGAGACAGCUUCGGCUGGCCUUUGUAAACUCGAUCUCAAAUCAAGUAAGACUACCCGCUGAACUUAAGCAUAUCAAUAAGCGGAGG